GCCUUCGUGGUGUAGCGGUCAGCACGCUGGGCGCAUAUUCCAGAAGUCCGGGGUUCGAGUCCCGGUGAAGGCA
This 73-nucleotide transfer RNA is filed under the name Stegodyphus mimosarum. It matches the Rfam family "tRNA". From Rfam's summary of the family: Transfer RNA (tRNA) molecules are approximately 80 nucleotides in length. Their secondary structure includes four short double-helical elements and three loops (D, anti-codon, and T loops). Further hydrogen bonds mediate the characteristic L-shaped molecular structure. tRNAs have two regions of fundamental functional importance: the anti-codon, which is responsible for specific mRNA codon recognition, and the 3' end, to which the tRNAs corresponding amino acid is attached (by aminoacyl-tRNA synthetases). tRNAs cope with the degeneracy of the genetic code in two manners: having more than one tRNA (with a specific anti-codon) for a particular amino acid; and 'wobble' base-pairing, i.e. permitting non-standard base-pairing at the 3rd anti-codon position. The record is from Rfam by way of RNAcentral. Lineage: Eukaryota; Metazoa; Arthropoda; Arachnida; Araneae; Eresidae.